Molecule: ribosomal RNA, 467 nt
Filed under: uncultured bacterium
Lineage: Bacteria
Description: partial 16S ribosomal RNA
Rfam family: Bacterial small subunit ribosomal RNA
Source: RNAcentral
GACGAACGCUGGCGGCGUGCUUAACACAUGCAAGUCGAACGGAAAGGCCCUGCUUUUGUGGGGUGCUCGAGUGGCGAACGGGUGAGUAACACGUGAGUAACCUGCCCUUGACUUUGGGAUAACUUCAGGAAACUGGGGCUAAUACCGGAUAGGAGCUCCUGCUGCAUGGUGGGGGUUGGAAAGUUUCGGCGGUUGGGGAUGGACUCGCGGCUUAUCAGCUUGUUGGUGGGGUAGUGGCUUACCAAGGCUUUGACGGGUAGCCGGCCUGAGAGGGUGACCGGCCACAUGGGACUGAGAUACGGCCCAGACUCCUACGGGAGGCAGCAGUGGGGAAUAUUGCACAAUGGGCGGAAGCCUGAUGCAGCAACGCCGCGUGCGGGAUGACGGCCUUCGGGUUGUAAACCGCUUUCGCCUGUGACGAAGCGUGAGUGACGGUAAUGGGUAAAGAAGCACCGGCUAACUACGUG